Molecule: unclassified non-coding RNA, 1569 nt
Filed under: Leishmania donovani
Lineage: Eukaryota; Euglenozoa; Kinetoplastea; Trypanosomatida; Trypanosomatidae
Description: gene:LdHU3.33.1170(CDS-product:hypothetical_prote in_conserved)
Source: RNAcentral
AACAGAUAAUCGCACUUUCAUCAGCGGUUUCAUCGGAGAGGGGCGCUAACUGUGGGUGAUUUAUCCUUUCAAGUGUGAAUUGUGAGCACUGGUGAUGUCACUCUUUGAUGUAGAUAGCAGUCAUGCCUCCUCCGAAGCGUUGUCGUCCUCGAGCGAUGAGGGCAUGUUGCCGGAUUGUCCACCUCCACCGCCGACGGCUGCGUAUAGUGCUCAGCCUUCAUUCGCCAGUAGUGGCUCCAUCGCAGGCUACGCCGCUUCAGCGUCCGUUCUGGAGCAGCGCCGCCGCAUUGCAGAGCUGGAUGCUGCUAGGCAGCUCAACCGCGGGGCGCAGUGGCGCAACGAGCUACUUGGCCCGCCCGCAGUUGCCCAAAGGAGCUUCAGCGCUGCUCCGUCCUCCGCACAAACAAAGAGUUCGCCCCCCACCUCCGCCGACGCGGGCAAGUUCGGCAACUCCAUCGCUGCAGCACUGAACCUACGCCGAGAAGAGAAAGAAAAGACGUUGCUGAAGCGCCUGCAGCAGCAGCGCAGAGCUGAGGAGGAGAGCAGCGGCAGUCAGGCAUUGGCGGAGAAGGACAUGGAGGUUGGUGUCUUCGUGACAGCUUCCUACAAGGCACUGCUGCAGCGCAACCUUCGCCCAACGGAAAGGAGCAGCGGUGGUCAGAGCGCGCAGCCCUCCAAGAAGGACAAUGGUACUAACGAUGAAGGUAGCGGCGACGACGAAGGCCCGCUGGCGGCGUACUUGCGGCAGCUCGAGAGCAAACACCAGCCUGCCACCGUUACGAGUGACGCGUCGCCCGCUGCGAGUCGGAUGGCCACCGGCGAUUACUACGAGCGCAUCAUGAAAGCUCCACUGCUGGAGGAGAAAAACGCGUCAGGGACAGCAGUUGCGAUGGCGGGGUCAGCCGGCGACGCUGGCGGUUUGCCAGAGGUGACACCACAAGUAACUCCUUCAGCGGAGGGCAUCGACGCCGUUUCACUUGCUGCGCCGACGCUCAAUGAACUGCAAGGCCUCAUCGAACACACAGCCGUUGGUCCGUCGCCGACGCCAGGAUCGCUGGGUGUGCCGCAGACUGAGGUGGAGAAGGCGAUGGACACCGUGAAGCCUGCUGCUGCUGCUGAAACGGAAGCCGCCGACGUGCACAGCGCCGUGCUGGCACACGCACAACUGCUGUUCGACACGCGCCAAGCAAAGAGUAGCUGCGGCGCGAAUCCCGCUACCCUCGUCGCCGCCGCGCGUCGCUGUGAUGAGCGCAUAGGCGCCUCUCUCUUCGCCUCUUUGUCGUAACCGAGUCGGCGGGGGAAGCGGCGGCGGCCGAGUAUCGCAAGUGCGAGGUUUACGUUUAGUCGCCAGUAUAUUUUCCUCACGCACGUGAAAAUGCCUCUUACGUGCCCAGAACCUACACACGUGCGAGCGCAGACGUGCACCGCGAGCACUCAAGAGAGGGAGCGGUGCACUGGCGCGCACCUUCAGACUGCACAACGAAAUGAGGGAUCGCAGCCCUGCUAUGGCGGCACUCGGUAAGAGCGAUGUGGCCAAGGGCAUUUGUGUGGUAGCCGUCGAACACACUU